UCCCUGGUGGUCCAAUGGCUAGGACUCUGCACUCCUAACGCAGGGGUCCCAGGUUCGACCCCUGGUCAGGGAA
Molecule: non-coding RNA, 73 nt
Organism: Hippopotamus amphibius kiboko
Lineage: Eukaryota; Metazoa; Chordata; Mammalia; Artiodactyla; Hippopotamidae
Source: the annotation of a RefSeq genome assembly